RNAcentral lists this long non-coding RNA (942 nucleotides) under Equus caballus (horse). RNAcentral describes it as "lncRNA (ENSECAG00000060385.1)". Lineage: Eukaryota; Metazoa; Chordata; Mammalia; Perissodactyla; Equidae. The record is from RNAcentral.
GGUGGGGGGCAUCAUCCCCAUGGAUGUUAAUAAGCUCGGGUCUGUGGCAGCAACAACUAUCUUCACUCCCAGCCUGCAGAGGUGAGCUACCAGUGAACUUCUUAAUGAUACGGAGCAUUCUCACCAGAAUGAGAUGAAUUCUCACCUCUCACCAGAGCAUACCUAAAUGUCCUUGGUGAAUAGUGUAUCCUCGCGUCCCUCCUGUGGUACCUUGGAUUCAGUAAUGUACAAGAGUUUCACCUGAUCCACAUCCUCAUCCACACUUGAUAUUGUCUGCUUGGGAUUCUGAGACUUGGAAGAAGGCAUGGUGUCAUCCUGAUGGGCUGAAGUGAAGAUUUAUACUCUGUCCCAGGCAGCUUUCGCGUGAUCUUUGUGCAGUCUGGGUUUUCAGCAAGGCUGCUCCUUAGCCUCAGCAGGUUAAAGGCUACAGCAAGGCAUUCAGCGAGCCAGCCAACAAAGAGAAAGCGGAUUAUAAUCAUGAGGGGCACUACAGAGAUCUGGCGAGCUGACCCUGCUAAGAAUUCCCUUUGCCAGCUUCUGCCAGCUUUCCCAGGAUCCCAUCUUCAAGCUCCAGAUUCCAGGCUGGAGCCUUCUGCAGCACCCUAGUCAAGCUAUAUGGGAGACCAUAAGGAAACUCAGAGAACUCACUGCUGUGUUCUUCCUCAAGUCUUGAAGUCUCCAGGCAGUUCACUUCCUUCUUUCUACCUUUCAGAGUCUUCCUGUGCUUAUUUUAGUCCAGGGUUGUGUUAUGGUUCUGCUGACUGUGUUAUAGCCAAGACAUUUAGUUGUAAUGGUGAGAUUCAGAGAGAAAUUCCAUCUUGGCCAGAACUGGAAGUUGAAAUUGAAUUUUUAUCCAUUUUUAUUUGAUAUAUUAUUCAUAAUUAAAUAAAUGACUAAUAAAAAAUAAAAACUAGAAAGAAACACACUUUUGAGAUGACUUGC